AACCCUCGGGAUUGUAAUUUGAAGAUUUGGCAUUGGAGAAAGCUAACCCAAGUUGCUUGGAAUAGUACGUCAUAGAGGGUGACAACCCCGUCUGGCUAACCGUUCUCCAUGUAUUGCCUUAUCAAAGAGUCGAGUUGUUUGGGAAUGCAGCUCAAAGUGGGUGGUAAACUCCAUCUAAAGCUAAAUACUGGUGAGAGACCGAUAGCGAACAAGUACUGUGAAGGAAAGGUGAAAAGAACUUUGAAAAGAGAGUGAAAUAGUAUGUGAAAUUGUUGAUAGGGAAGGAAAUGAGUGGAGAGUGGCCGAGGUUUCAGCCGCCCCUCGUGGGCGGUGUACUGCCGACGCCGAGUCAUCGAUAGCGAGACGAGGGUUACAAAUGGGAGCGCCUUUCGGGCGUUCUCCC
This 403-nucleotide ribosomal RNA is filed under the name Yarrowia lipolytica. RNAcentral's name for it is "eukaryotic LSU rRNA". It matches the Rfam family "Eukaryotic large subunit ribosomal RNA", at positions 132 to 501 of the family's 3401-position model. Lineage: Eukaryota; Fungi; Ascomycota; Dipodascomycetes; Dipodascales. The record is from RNAcentral.